Molecule: unclassified non-coding RNA, 303 nt
Filed under: uncultured Chaetomium
Lineage: Eukaryota; Fungi; Ascomycota; Sordariomycetes; Sordariales; Chaetomiaceae
Description: partial contains 5.8S ribosomal RNA, internal transcribed spacer 2, and large subunit ribosomal RNA
Rfam family: 5.8S ribosomal RNA (bases 1-102)
Source: RNAcentral
AUGCGAUAAGUAAUGUGAAUUGCAGAAUUCAGUGAAUCAUCGAAUCUUUGAACGCACAUUGCGCCCGCCAGUAUUCUGGCGGGCAUGCCUGUUCGAGCGUCAUUUCAACCAUCAAGCCCCAGGCUUGUGUUGGGGACCUGCGGCUGCCGCAGGCCCUGAAAUCCAGUGGCGGGUUCGCUGUCACCCCGAGCGUAGUAGCAAUAUCUCGCUCAGGGCGUGCUGCGGGCGCCGGCCGUUAAAAGCUGCCUUCUGGCAACACCCAAGGUUGACCUCGGAUCAGGUAGGAAGACCCGCUGAACUUAA